This 585-nucleotide ribosomal RNA is filed under the name uncultured bacterium. RNAcentral's name for it is "partial 16S ribosomal RNA". It matches the Rfam family "Bacterial small subunit ribosomal RNA", at positions 355 to 937 of the family's 1533-position model. The record is from RNAcentral.
UGGGGAAUUUUGGACAAUGGGCGAAAGCCUGAUCCAGCAAUGCCGCGUGUGUGAAGAAGGCCUUCGGGUUGUAAAGCACUUUUGUCCGGAAAGAAAUCCUUGGCUCUAAUACAGUCGGGGGAUGACGGUACCGGAAGAAUAAGCACCGGCUAACUACGUGCCAGCAGCCGCGGUAAUACGUAGGGUGCAAGCGUUAAUCGGAAUUACUGGGCGUAAAGCGUGCGCAGGCGGUUUGCUAAGACCGAUGUGAAAUCCCCGGGCUCAACCUGGGAACUGCAUUGGUGACUGGCAGGCUAGAGUAUGGCAGAGGGGGGUAGAAUUCCACGUGUAGCAGUGAAAUGCGUAGAGAUGUGGAGGAAUACCGAUGGCGAAGGCAGCCCCCUGGGCCAAUACUGACGCUCAUGCACGAAAGCGUGGGGAGCAAACAGGAUUAGAUACCCUGGUAGUCCACGCCCUAAAACGAUGUCAACUAGUUGUUGGGGAUUCAUUUCCUUAGUAACGUAGCUAACGCGUGAAGUUGACCGCCUGGGGAGUACGGUCGCAAGAUUAAAACUCAAAGGAAUUGACGGGGUCAUAGCUGUUCCU